UACGUAGGGGGCAAGCGUUGUCCGGAAUCAUUGGGCGUAAAGCGCACGUAGGCGGUCUGCUAAGUCGGUUGUGAAAGCCCCCGGCUCAACCGGGGAAUUGCGUUCGAUACUGGCAGGCUGGAGGACGGUUGGGGUGAGUGGAACUCCAGGUGGAGCGGUGAAAUGCGUAGAUAUCAGGAAGAACACCAAUGGCGAAGGCAGCGCUCUGGGACGGUACUGACGCUGAGACGCGAAAGCGUGGGGAGCGAACAGG
Molecule: ribosomal RNA, 253 nt
Filed under: uncultured bacterium
Lineage: Bacteria
Description: partial 16S ribosomal RNA
Rfam family: Bacterial small subunit ribosomal RNA
Source: RNAcentral